ACAGGGCCCUCAUGUAUUGUCGUUGGCUCAGAAAAAUCCAGACAACAAUCCUACGGAUAAAAAGCCCGACAAGAAGGACAAGGAUGAUGAAGAGAAUAAACGCCGCCAGAAGGUCCAAUUCCUGGUAAAUGCUGCAGUGCGAGAGAUGAUGUGGUUUUUCCUUGAGGUGUUCAUCGUCUACAGAUUGGGCCUAUUCGUCAAGAACUUACCCAAGUAACCGCACACAGGGCGCGCCAAGCACACAUCGCAGCUUGAUCUCCUACUCGCCCGCAAAAGCCAGGAUUUCGCUUCUAAAUAACAAAUUCAAGA
This is a non-coding RNA of Dermacentor andersoni, 309 nucleotides long. NCBI's taxonomy places the organism in Eukaryota, Metazoa, Arthropoda, Arachnida, Ixodida, Ixodidae. The record is from RefSeq and is a predicted model, not a curated record.